AGAUGACUGUUUGGUGCGUAAUUCCGCAGCUCUUCCGAGCCACAAGUUUUUUUAGGGAGUUGUUCCUGCUCUGAUCGUGGUCUUUGCAUACGACACCCACCUAGUGAGAUGCGGUUCGUGAAAGAAUGUUUUGUACGGCCCGACGGUUAUCUC
Molecule: non-coding RNA, 153 nt
Filed under: Alphaproteobacteria bacterium
Lineage: Bacteria; Pseudomonadati; Pseudomonadota; Alphaproteobacteria
Description: 6S RNA
Rfam family: 6S / SsrS RNA
About the family: E. coli 6S RNA was the first non coding RNA to be sequenced, but its function was unknown until recently.
Source: RNAcentral